This 317-nucleotide small RNA is filed under the name Arabidopsis thaliana (thale cress). Its description in RNAcentral is "ATSL037510". Lineage: Eukaryota; Viridiplantae; Streptophyta; Magnoliopsida; Brassicales; Brassicaceae. The record is from RNAcentral.
AACCCUAAACCCUAAACCAUAGAUCCCAAACUUUAAAACCUAAAUCCUACUUUAGGCUUCCGGAAUUCGGUUGCGGUUCUAGUUCUUGUGCUCAAUGAUACACAAAGCAUCUAGUCAUAUUUGACUACAAAUCCGCUAACCAAGUUUAUUCUUGAUUCUCAAAGCUUUGAUAGUGAAGCCGAAUUCUUAUGAGUUUUUGGUUUUGAACAGUUUAACAAGAAAGCACUACUUUACUUUUCGGGAUCUGGUUGAGGUUCUAGUUUUAUAUUCAAUCAUACACAUAACAUCUAGUCAUAUUUAACUUUGAAACACUAACA